AGAGUGAACGCUGGCGGUAGGCCUAACACAUGCAAGUCGAACGGCAGCACAGGAGAGCUUGCUCUCUGGGUGGCGAGUGGCGGACGGGUGAGGAAUACAUCGGAAUCUACCUUUUCGUGGGGGAUAACGUAGGGAAACUUACGCUAAUACCGCAUAAGACCUUCGGGUGAAAGCCGGGGACCUUCGGGCCUGGCGCGGAUAGAUGAGCCGAUGUCGGAUUAGCUUGUUGGCGGGGUAAAAGCCCACCAAGGCGACGAUCCGUAGCUGGUCUGAGAGGAUGAUCAGCCACACUGGAACUGAGACACGGUCCAGACUCCUACGGGAGGCAGCAGUGGGGAAUAUUGGACAAUGGGCGCAAGCCUGAUCCAGCCAUACCGCGUGGGUGAAGAAGGCCUGGUUGUAACGUAGUCUUU
Molecule: ribosomal RNA, 413 nt
Filed under: uncultured soil bacterium
Lineage: Bacteria
Description: bacterial SSU rRNA
Rfam family: Bacterial small subunit ribosomal RNA
Source: RNAcentral